CUACGGGUGGCAGCAGUGGGGAAUAUUGCACAAUGGACGAAAGUCUGAUGCAGCAACGCCGCGUGGAGGAUGACACAUUUCGGUGCGUAAACUCCUUUUAUAUAGGAAGAUAAUGACGGUACUAUAUGAAUAAGCGCCGGCUAACUCCGUGCCAGCAGCCGCGGUAAUACGGAGGGCGCAAGCGUUACUCGGAAUCACUGGGCGUAAAGAGCGUGUAGGCGGAUAGAUAAGUCAGGAGUGAAAUCCUACGGCUCAACCAUAGAACUGCUCUUGAAACUGUCUAUCUAGAAUAUGGGAGAGGUAGAUGGAAUUUCUGGUGUAGGGGUAAAAUCCGUAGAGAUCAGAAGGAAUACCGAUUGCGAAGGCGAUCUACUGGAACAUUAUUGACGCUGAGACGCGAAAGCGUGGGGAGCAAACAGGAUUAGAUACCCCGGUAGUC
This 439-nucleotide ribosomal RNA is filed under the name uncultured bacterium. Its description in RNAcentral is "partial 16S ribosomal RNA". It matches the Rfam family "Bacterial small subunit ribosomal RNA", at positions 339 to 795 of the family's 1533-position model. The record is from RNAcentral.